This 1137-nucleotide ribosomal RNA is filed under the name Discosoma sp. Its description in RNAcentral is "small subunit ribosomal RNA". It matches the Rfam family "Bacterial small subunit ribosomal RNA". Lineage: Eukaryota; Metazoa; Cnidaria; Anthozoa; Corallimorpharia; Discosomidae. The record is from RNAcentral.
AUCCUUUGGUUUUGGGGAACUAGGAAUAUACGUGUCUUUCUUAUACAUGCUAGUGGAUGACGGUUAAAGAGGGGACAAAAUGUGCGAACAGGUGAGGAAACCCGAGAGCUAAGUUUUGGGGCGGGGCUGGAGUCGUAUUAGGUCGAAGGUGGUAUAAAAGACCACCUUGCCCAGGAUGCGUGGCUUUAAACUGGAAGCCAUCUUUUCACUGAAGCAAAGGGAGGGCUCAAAAAGGGAGCGAAAAGCUCCUGAGGCAGCAGUAUAUAACUUUAUGCAAUGUACGAAAGUGCGACAUAGAAGGGGCGUAUAACUUAAUCUGUCUAAUUAAGUGCCAGCAGACGCGGUGAAACUUAAGGAUUAGUAUUAUAGGAAAAAGCGUAAAGGGUGUGAGGGGCUUAUCCCAACAAGAGGGUAAAUGGAAUUUUUCUGUAGGGGUAGAAUGUGUAGAUAGAAAAAAGAACUCUAAACGCGAAGGCAAUUUAUCUCAUGGGUGGUACGCCAACUGCUCCGUUGUUACACGAAAGUAUGGGGAGCAAACAGGAUUAGAGACCCUGGUAGUCUAUAUUGUAAAUAAUGAAGAAGAUGUGAGGCAAUCCUAAAGGGUAAUAAAUUUUUCGCUUGAGUAGUAUGAUCGCAAGAUUUAAAUUCAAAAAACUUGGCUGCUCACUGCUAUGAUCAGAGGAGCGUGUCGUUUAAUUCGAUAGUCCGCGAGAGACCUUACCCAAACUUGAAUUCGCCCUUUAACAGGUAUUGCAUGGCCGUCGUCAAUUUGUGUAUUAAAUGUAAAACGGAUUCAACCCAGUGGUUGGCAACCCCUCGUCUUCGGAGCGGUGCCAUUAUUGGAUGAAGUCAGGUCUUAUUGUCCUAAUGUUUGGGGAUUAGAUGCGCUACAUUUUCUUAUACAAUGGGAGAUUUUGAAGGUGGAACCCUAAAGUAAGAGUUCGGGAGGUGGCUGGAAGAUAACUGAAAGUGGGAUUUGAUAGUAAUUAGAAAGUAGAGCGUUCUGGUGAAAUUGAUGCAGUGUUAGUACAAAUAGCCCGUCGCCUUGGUCAAGAAUGGGUACUCAAAUGCCCCCUGUUGUUGGGGUGUAGUGUAACUUUGAGAUGAAGUAAGUCGUAACAUAGGAACUGGCUCUUG